RNAcentral lists this transfer RNA (73 nucleotides) under Candidatus Tremblayella princeps. RNAcentral's name for it is "Candidatus Tremblaya princeps tRNA". It matches the Rfam family "tRNA". From Rfam's summary of the family: Transfer RNA (tRNA) molecules are approximately 80 nucleotides in length. Their secondary structure includes four short double-helical elements and three loops (D, anti-codon, and T loops). Further hydrogen bonds mediate the characteristic L-shaped molecular structure. tRNAs have two regions of fundamental functional importance: the anti-codon, which is responsible for specific mRNA codon recognition, and the 3' end, to which the tRNAs corresponding amino acid is attached (by aminoacyl-tRNA synthetases). tRNAs cope with the degeneracy of the genetic code in two manners: having more than one tRNA (with a specific anti-codon) for a particular amino acid; and 'wobble' base-pairing, i.e. permitting non-standard base-pairing at the 3rd anti-codon position. The record is from Rfam by way of RNAcentral. Lineage: Bacteria; Pseudomonadati; Pseudomonadota; Betaproteobacteria.
AGGGAUAUAGUUGAUGUGGCAAAACACCAGUAUCCUCAACUGGGAACCGAGGGUUCGAGUCCUUCUAUCCCUG